RNAcentral lists this ribosomal RNA (1527 nucleotides) under uncultured marine bacterium. RNAcentral describes it as "16S ribosomal RNA". It matches the Rfam family "Bacterial small subunit ribosomal RNA". The record is from RNAcentral.
AUUGAACGCUGGCGGUAGGUUUUAAACAUGCAAGUCGAGCGGUAACAGACAUUUUGAUUCAGCUUGCUGAAUCUCGUGCUGACGAGCGGCGAACGGGUGAGUAACACGUAGGAAUCUACCCAGUAGCGGGGGAUAGCCCGAGGAAACUCGGAUUAAUACCGCAUACGCCCUACGGGGGAAAGGGGGCAUCUUUGAUGCUCUCACUAUUGGAUGAGCCUGCGUAAGAUUAGCUUGUUGGUAGGGUAAAGGCCUACCAAGGCGACGAUCUUUAGCUGGUCUGAGAGGACGAUCAGCCACAUUGGGACUGAGACACGGCCCAGACGUCUACGGACGGCAGCAGUUAAGAAUAUUGGACAAUGAGGGAAACCUUGAUCCAGCCAUACCGCGUGUGUGAAGAAGGCCUUAGGGUUGUAAAGCACUUUAAGCGAAGAAGAAGAAAAGUAAGUUAAUACCUUACUUUUUUGACGUUACUCGCAGAAUAAGUACCGGCUAACUCCGUGCCAGCAGCCGCGGUAAUACGGAGGGUACAAGCGUUAAUCGGAAUUACUGGGCGUAAAGCGCGCGUAGGCGGUUAAGUAAGUUGGAUGUGAAAGCCCUGGGCUCAACCUAGGAACUGCAUUCAAAACUAUUUAACUAGAGUGCGAGAGAGGAGAGUAGAAUUUCUGGUGUAGCGGUGAAAUGCGUAGAUAUCAGAAGGAAUACCAAUGGCGAAGGCAGCCCUCUGGAUCGUCACUGACGCUAAGGUGCGAAAGCGUGGGUAGCAAACAGGAUUAGAUACCCUGGUAGUCCACGCCGUAAACGAUGAGAACUAGCCGUUGGGGGGAAUUAACUCUUCAGUGGCGCAGCUAACGCAUUAAGUUCUCCGCCUGGGGACUACGGCCGCAAGGCUAAAACUCAAAUGAAUUGACGGGGGCCCGCACAAGCGGUGGAUCAUGUGGUUUAAUCCGAUGCAACGCGAAGAACCUUACCUACCCUUGAAAUCCAGCGAAGUUCCUAGAGAUAGGAAUGUGCCUUCGGGAACGCUGUGACAGGUGUUGCAUGGCUGUCGUCAGCUCGUGUCGUGAGAUGUAUGGUUAAGUCCAGUAACGAGCGCAACCCCUAUCCUUAUUUGCCAGCGCAUAAUGGCGGGAACUAUAAGGAGACUGCCGGUCAUAAACCGGAGGAAGGCGGGGACGACGUCAAGUCAUCAUGGCCCUUAUGGGUAGGGCUACACACGUGAUACAAUGGGUGGUACAGAGGGUCGCCAAAGCGCGAGCUGGAGCCAAACCCUUAAAACCAUUCUUAGUCCGGAUUGGAGUCUGCAACUCGACUCCAUGAAGUCGGAAUCGCUAGUAAUCGCGAAUCAGAAUGUCGCGGUGAAUACGUUCUCGGGCCUUGUACACACCGCCCGUCACGUCAUGGAAGUGGGUUGCACCAGAAGUGGCUUGUUUAACCUUCGGGAAAACGGUCACCACGGUGUGAUUCACAACUGGGACGAAGUCGUAACAAGGUAGCCCUAGGGGAACCUGGGGCUGGAUCACCUCCUUA